This 68-nucleotide transfer RNA is filed under the name Corynebacterium variabile. It matches the Rfam family "tRNA". Rfam says of the family: Transfer RNA (tRNA) molecules are approximately 80 nucleotides in length. Lineage: Bacteria; Bacillati; Actinomycetota; Actinomycetes; Mycobacteriales; Corynebacteriaceae. The record is from RNAcentral. RNAcentral also lists the same sequence under 1 other name.
CGCUUUAGCUCAGUCGGUAGAGCGUUUCACUCGUAAUGAAAAGGUCGCGAGUUCGAUUCUCGCAAGCG